RNAcentral lists this long non-coding RNA (783 nucleotides) under Brassica rapa (field mustard). RNAcentral's name for it is "long non-coding RNA (BRAP_LNC004781)". Lineage: Eukaryota; Viridiplantae; Streptophyta; Magnoliopsida; Brassicales; Brassicaceae. The record is from RNAcentral.
GACGAAGCUGUUGAAGACGAGUUUAAUGAAAAUGAUGAUAUUUCUAGUGAUGACGAGAAUGUCGAGGAAUCCGAUUGAUGUAUAUGAUUUUUUGUAGUUUGUUUUAGAAUAAGGUAAUGUGAGAGUUUGUUUUAUGAAUAAGAUAAUAUUGUGGGAGUUUGUUUUGUGAAUAAGAAAAUGUGGGAGUUUGUUUUAUGAAUAAGUAAGAAUUGUGGUUUGGAAUAUAUGAAGUAGAAGAUAAGGAAAUGUGGUUUGGAAUGAAAAUAAAGAUAGAGUUUGGAAUAUAUGAAGUAGAAGAUAGGGAAUAUGGGGUUUGGGGUUUGGGGUUUCAGAUUUUAGGGAUUUAAACGUAAUACUCGCUAAUUCCUCGUACGUUGACGUUGAACUUACGACGUAGUCCUCGUUUAUUCCACGUAGACAGAUUCGUCGUAAAGGACUCGUUGGCUAACAUGGAAAUAACGACGAAAUUAAUAAAUAAAUAAAGCGAAACUUGUUAAUUCCACGUAGGAGAGAAUCGUCGUAAACACCUCGUAAAGUAAAUGAUGAACACGGCCCUCUUUAAUUCCACGUAGGACGGAAUCGUCGUAAACACCUCGUAACAUAAAUCGUCGUAAAUACCUCGUAAAGUAAAUGAUGAACGCGGCCCUCUUUAAUUCCACGUAGGACGUAAAUCGUCGUAAACACCUCGUAACGUAAAUCGUCGUAAAGACCUCGUAGUGUAAAAACUAGAAAAAAAAAGAAAAAGAAGAAAUAUACUGGAUUUACAUGUGGCAAGACUUCCAG